This 657-nucleotide long non-coding RNA is filed under the name Rattus norvegicus (Norway rat). RNAcentral's name for it is "long non-coding RNA NONRATT008298". The record is from RNAcentral. Lineage: Eukaryota; Metazoa; Chordata; Mammalia; Rodentia; Muridae.
AACUGAAGCACAAAUCUGAGCCCAAGAUUUGGCCUCCAGAAGUCUGAACUUCUUCUGUCGUCGGUCACCACAUCUCCUGCUCUGAAAUGCACAGAGAAGCCAUGGGAGGAGCCAAAGAGGAAACCACCACCAUUAGCAAAAACCGAGAGGUCUCAGCUUCUGCUGAAGACAGGAUUGAAAACAGACAGAAUUAGAGGAGGCAUCAGCAGGGGCUACUAACCCCUCCCCCACCUGACAACCACUGUGUUCACAACCGGGGUCAAACAGAAAAUUCUAACCUAUCUCUCCCUCCCUUCGAAAAGUAGUCAGAGGAAAAGGAACCAAUGGACUGGGUAGGCGAAAUGAGUAAAGAUUAAAAUCUCCCCCCCUGGGGGGGGGCAGGAAGUGUCAGAAAGAAAUUAAGAUCUGGAAUAACCUGUCCAAGAAGGACAGACAGCUGUCCGGUGACUGGAUGGUCUUUGCUACAGAACAUCUAACAAACUCUCCAAGGAAAGUGUGAAGUUCAGACCUUCUAUCUGGCCUGCAAGUUACUCCAACCUCCAAAGCAGCCUCUACCUCUACCAGGCUUGCCUGGGAAUGCAUAGCUGUAAGCUGCAAUCCCAGAACUGGGAGGUGAAGGAAAGAGGAAAGAGAUGCAAAUUAAAAAAAAAAAAACAA